RNAcentral lists this ribosomal RNA (482 nucleotides) under uncultured bacterium. RNAcentral describes it as "partial 16S ribosomal RNA". It matches the Rfam family "Bacterial small subunit ribosomal RNA", at positions 30 to 507 of the family's 1533-position model. The record is from RNAcentral.
AUUGAACGCUGGCGGCAUGCCUUACACAUGCAAGUCGAACGGUAACGGGCCUUCGGGUGCCGACGAGUGGCGAACGGGUGAGUAAUACAUCGGAACGUGCCCGAUCGUGGGGGAUAACGAGGCGAAAGCUUUGCUAAUACCGCAUACGAUCUACGGAUGAAAGCCGGGGACCGCAAGGCCUUGCGCGGACGGAGCGGCCGAUGGCAGAUUAGGUAGUUGGUGGGAUAAAAGCUUACCAAGCCGACGAUCUGUAGCUGGUCUGAGAGGAUGAUCAGCCACACUGGGACUGAGACACGGCCCAGACUCCUACGGGAGGCAGCAGUGGGGAAUUUUGGACAAUGGGCGCAAGCCUGAUCCAGCAAUGCCGCGUGCAGGAUGAAGGCCUCCGGGUUGUAAACUGCUUUUGUACGGAACGAAAAGCCUUCUUUUAAUACAGGAGGGUCAUGACGGUACCGUAAGAAUAAGCACCGGCUAACUACGUG